Long non-coding RNA from Mesocricetus auratus (golden hamster), 742 nucleotides. RefSeq lists it as uncharacterized. The transcript has 3 exons. NCBI's taxonomy places the organism in Eukaryota, Metazoa, Chordata, Mammalia, Rodentia, Cricetidae. The record is from RefSeq and is a predicted model, not a curated record.
GUGUUGAACUCUACAGAUUAUUAAAUUGAAGGAAACGGAUGGCCACUUGAGUGACCCGCUGCACACGCUGGCUUUGGGGUGUUACAGUGGAUCGCCAGGAGGGCGGGGAAAACGUGUAAUGGAUAACAGCUCCUUAAAGAACCUGGGAACAGCAUGGAGUGAUGGCGUAGGCACUUUGUGCGGCAGAGGAAAAAUAUCCAAGAAGGAAGCUCCCAAGGAGGUUACCAGGUGCACAGUUCAGCCAAACACUGAGGACCUGGGGGUGAAGGAAGGAAAGGAUGAUGGCCUAUGUAUUCAUCGCUCUGCAGAUUGCUGGGACAAAAUAUCCAGAGAGCAACUUCUACAGGAAAGAUUGGUCCAUCAUGGUAGCAGAAGCCAUGGAGCAGCAGCUGGAGGUGGCGGGUCAUGUGGACCCUCAGUCGGGAGCAAGAUGGAUGCUACUUCUCAGCUGUCUCUCUCCUCUCUAUAAGUUCAGGGCCCCACCCUGUGGACCGGUGCUGCCCACAGGAAAGGAGUGUCUUCCUACCCCCUUCAUCACAUGCCAGAAGCUGAUUCAACUCAUGUACCUGAUUGUUCUAGAUCUUGUCAAGGUGACAAUCACAUUAACCAUGCAGGUGGUCAAGUAUAUGAAAUAGAAUAUUGACAGUUGCUGAGGCUGAACCAUGCAUACGUGAGACUUCAUCACUCUUUCUGCUUUUCUGGACAUUAGAAUAUUUCCAAAAUAAAGUCCUUUUUAAAAACA